This 472-nucleotide ribosomal RNA is filed under the name uncultured beta proteobacterium. RNAcentral describes it as "bacterial SSU rRNA". It matches the Rfam family "Bacterial small subunit ribosomal RNA", at positions 8 to 474 of the family's 1533-position model. The record is from RNAcentral. Lineage: Bacteria; Pseudomonadati; Pseudomonadota; Betaproteobacteria.
AGAGUUUGAUCCUGGCUCAGAUUGAACGCUGGCGGCAUGCUUUACACAUGCAAGUCGAGCGGCAGCGCGGGGGCAACCCUGGCGGCGAGCGGCGAACGGGUGAGUAAUGCAUCGGAACGUGUCCCGUAGUGGGGGAUAACCCGGCGAAAGCCGGGCUAAUACCGCAUAUGCUCUACGGAGGAAAGCGGGGGAUCCGCAAGGACCUCGCGCCAUGGGAGCGGCCGAUGUCCGAUUAGCUUGUUGGUGGGGUAAAGGCUUACCAAGGCGACGAUCGGUAGCUGGUCUGAGAGGAUGAUCAGCCACACUGGGACUGAGACACGGCCCAGACUCCUACGGGAGGCAGCAGUGGGGAAUUUUGGACAAUGGGGGCAACCCUGAUCCAGCCAUGCCGCGUGCGGGAAGAAGGCCUUCGGGUUGUAAACCGCUUUUAGUCGGGAAGAAAAGGCCAGGCCGAAUACGUCUGUUCUUGACG